CUGGCCUCGAAUCAACG
Molecule: ribosomal RNA, 17 nt
Filed under: Pearsonellum pygmaeum
Lineage: Eukaryota; Metazoa; Platyhelminthes; Trematoda; Strigeidida; Aporocotylidae
Description: Pearsonellum pygmaeus partial 28S ribosomal RNA
Source: RNAcentral